UACGUAGGGUGCGAGCGUUAAUCGGAAUUACUGGGCGUAAAGUGUGCGCAGGCGGCUUCGCAAGUCGAGUGUGAAAUCCCCGAGCUUAACUUGGGAAUUGCGCUCGAAACUACGGAGCUGGAGUGUGGCAGAGGAAGGUGGAAUUCCUGGUGUAGCGGUGGAAUGCGCAGAUAUCAGGAGGAACACCAAUGGCGAAGGCAGAUCUCUGGGCCGUAACUGACGCUGAGGAGCGAAAGCAUGGGGAGCGAACAGG
Molecule: ribosomal RNA, 253 nt
Filed under: uncultured bacterium
Lineage: Bacteria
Description: partial 16S ribosomal RNA
Rfam family: Bacterial small subunit ribosomal RNA
Source: RNAcentral